Molecule: non-coding RNA, 1193 nt
Organism: Arachis ipaensis
Lineage: Eukaryota; Viridiplantae; Streptophyta; Magnoliopsida; Fabales; Fabaceae
Source: RefSeq, a predicted model, not a curated record
AUUUCACAUAUCAAAAAUCUCAGACCUUGGCUAAGUUUAAUUGUAAAUUUCAAUGUGCUCUCCUUUUUCAGUUAACCAACGCUUGUUUAAAUGACAAUGUAUUUGUUGUGUGAUAAGGUAAGUAUUAAAGUGCUGAUUAACACCUUGUUGGCGCUAAAAAAUUUUCAUCCUUUGGAUAUUACUUCUAAAGUGCCUAGCCUAAAGCUUCAUCCAGCAUGAACAGACCAAGAAAAUGAAGCAUCUAUACUGAAAGCUCUUUCUGCAGUUAUGCUUUCAACCCAAGGAUAUAAAUUUAAAACCAAUCAUGAGGAUUGGGUCAAAUCCAUCAAAUCCGAAUUAGGCCAUGAUGUUUUUGAGCGUGUUAUUGGUGUUAUUGCUGCUAUUAAUAGCUUAAUGCUACUCAUAAUAAUAUAAAAACCUUGUAUAAAGUCUGGACUGAGAUGUGAGCUGCAUUUCAAAGUCUACUAAAGGUUAUAGUUCCAUUAGGUUCUCAUAAUGGUGGUUGUGUUUCUAUUUCAUUCAUCUCAUUCCAUGGGGUUGAUAAAUUUUUACUUGAUACGGUGUUGGAUAUGUAUUGCACUCUUCAAGAGCAAGUUAGUGUUGCCUCCUAUUCUUUGCCAUUACAAGAUACCAAUGGAAACAUUGAAACUUCUGAGCUUCUAGAGGAGAAGGGAAAUGCAGCCUUUAAAGGAAGCCAGUGGAAUAAGGCACUCAAUUACUACACUAAGGCUAUCAAACUGAAUGGCAUAAAUGCGACUUACUACUGUAACCGAGCGGCUGCUUACUUAAAGUUAGCCUGAAUGUGAAGGUGUAUCUAAGACGUGGAGCUGCUAAAGAAUCACUACUACGCUACCAGGAAAUAAGAAGAAAAAGAAGCAAAGAAGCACAAAAUAAGCUAAAAAGGAGAAAAAAAAAGAGCUUUGGGACACACUUUGAAGUUGGAGCACACUUUGGAGCCUUAGGCCACGCUUUUAAAAGCAUGGCCCAUGAAUAAAUUAAAGGAUAUUGGCAAUCAACACACUAAGCUCAGCUCUUGCCAAGAGCAGAGCAUUAUCGUGAUGCAAAAAUGAGCUGGGAAGCAAAAUUUUCGCUAAGUUAAAACUUGGGUGCUCACAGCUUGACCAUGCCUCCUUCAAAGGGCUAUAACUUGAGCUAUGAAUGUCCGAUUGAUGUGCUUCUAGUUGUGUUAGAAA